GUAUUGUAUGAAAGGAAAGAAGGUUAUCAUUCCCCUUGACAAGAGGAAC
Molecule: small nuclear RNA, 49 nt
Filed under: Macaca nemestrina (pig-tailed macaque)
Lineage: Eukaryota; Metazoa; Chordata; Mammalia; Primates; Cercopithecidae
Source: RNAcentral